UCCGUGUUGAAUCAUUAAAUUGGUUUAGUGGUUCCUCUCCUAUCAAUGCUAGGCAACUGCAGUGCAAGAUUGUUUCAACAAACUUGGUUGGUUCAUUAAUCCGUAUGAAGUAAUUCAUCUCAUGGAGUUCGAGACAAGGGAGGGCAAAGGCAAGAAAUCAUAGACAUGCAUACUACUAGCAAGAGGAUAUAUGAAGACAUUAUUGAAAGUAACAAAGUAUUGAACUUCUUAUCACAAAAAAUGGGAAGAAAAGUUUGUCAAGUAAGGUAGGCAAAGCAAAGAAAAGGAGAAGGUUUGUAAAAUGAUUCAAGAGGUGAAAUAUUCAAAUCAUUUAUAUCUAGGAGGAUAUGAUUCUUGUGAUCAUGAGCGUCGUGAUAGAAUGUAAAGAUUAGAUUACUUAAGGUGAGAUUUAAAAAUUUA
Long non-coding RNA from Zingiber officinale, 420 nucleotides. RefSeq lists it as uncharacterized. NCBI's taxonomy places the organism in Eukaryota, Viridiplantae, Streptophyta, Magnoliopsida, Zingiberales, Zingiberaceae. The record is from RefSeq and is a predicted model, not a curated record. The transcript has 2 exons.